GACGAACGCUGGCGGCGUGCUUAACACAUGCAAGUCGAACGGAAAGGCCCUGCCUUUGUGGGGUGCUCGAGUGGCGAACGGGUGAGUAACACGUGAGUAACCUGCCCUUGACUUUGGGAUAACUUCAGGAAACUGGGGCUAAUACCGGAUAGGAGCUCCUGCUGCAUGGUGGGGGUUGGAAAGUUUCGGCGGUUGGGGAUGGACUCGCGGCUUAUCAGCUUGUUGGUGGGGUAGUGGCUUACCAAGGCUUUGACGGGUAGCCGGCCUGAGAGGGUGACCGGCCACAUUGGGACUGAGAUACGGCCCAGACUCCUACGGGAGGCAGCAGUGGGGAAUAUUGCACAAUGGGCGGAAGCCUGAUGCAGCAACGCCACGUGCGGGAUGACGGCCUUCGGGUUGUAAACCGCUUUCGCCUGUGACGAAGCGUGAGUGACGGUAAUGGGUAAAGAAGCACCGGCUAACUACGUG
This 468-nucleotide ribosomal RNA is filed under the name uncultured bacterium. RNAcentral describes it as "partial 16S ribosomal RNA". It matches the Rfam family "Bacterial small subunit ribosomal RNA", at positions 28 to 507 of the family's 1533-position model. The record is from RNAcentral.